CAGAGGGGGCAAGCGUUGUUCGGAAUUACUGGGCGUAAAGGGCGCGUAGGCGGCCUUCUAAGUCGGACGUGAAAUCCCCGGGCUCAACCCGGGAACUGCGUCCGAGACUGGAAGGCUCGAAUCCGGGAGAGGGAUGUGGAAUUCCAGGUGUAGCGGUGAAAUGCGUAGAUAUCUGGAGGAACACCGGUGGCGAAGGCGGCAUCCUGGACCGGUAUUGACGCUGAGGCGCGAAAGCCAGAGGAGCAAACGGGAUUAGAUACCCCGGUAGUCCUGGCCCUAAACGAUGAAUGCUUGGUGUGGCGGGUAUCGAUCCCUGCCGUGCCGAAGCUAACGCAUUAAGCAUUCCGCCUGGGGAGUACGGUCGCAAGGCUG
RNAcentral lists this ribosomal RNA (372 nucleotides) under uncultured organism. Its description in RNAcentral is "bacterial SSU rRNA". It matches the Rfam family "Bacterial small subunit ribosomal RNA", at positions 526 to 896 of the family's 1533-position model. The record is from RNAcentral.